AUGCUUGCCUCAGCAGCACAUACACUAAAAUUAGAGUGAUACAAAGAAGAUUAUGGCUCCUGUGCAAGGAUAACACACACAUUUGUGAAGUGUUCCAUAUUUUU
This is a small nuclear RNA of Nycticebus coucang (slow loris), 104 nucleotides long. NCBI's taxonomy places the organism in Eukaryota, Metazoa, Chordata, Mammalia, Primates, Lorisidae. The record is from RefSeq and is a predicted model, not a curated record.